RNAcentral lists this ribosomal RNA (459 nucleotides) under uncultured bacterium. RNAcentral's name for it is "partial 16S ribosomal RNA". It matches the Rfam family "Bacterial small subunit ribosomal RNA", at positions 338 to 795 of the family's 1533-position model. The record is from RNAcentral.
CCUACGGGGGGCAGCAGUGAGGAAUAUUGGUCAAUGGCCGGAAGGCUGAACCAGCCAAGCCGCGUGAAGGACGAAGGUGCCAAGCAUUGUAAACUUCUUUUGUCAAGGGACAAAAUCAGGCUCGAGAGCCUGACCGAGGGUACUUGAAGAAAAAGCACAGGCUAACGCCUUGCCAGCAGCCGCGGAAAUACGGGGGAUGCGAGCGUUAUCCGGAUUUAUUGGGUUUAAAGGGUGCGUAGGGGGGCUGUUAAGUCAGCGGUAAAAGCCCGGGGCUCAACCCCGGCGAGCCGUUGAUACUGGCUGUCUUGAGAUGUAGAGAGGUAUGCGGAAUGCGCGGUGUAGCGGUGAAAUGCGUAGAUAUUGCGCAGAACUCCGAUUGCGAAGGCAGCAUACCGGCGGCGAUCUGACGCUGAGGUACGAAAGCGUGGGUAGCGAACAGGAUUAGAUACCCUGGUAGUC